GACGAACGCUGGCGGCGUGCUUAACACAUGCAAGUCGAACGGAAAGGCCCUGCUUUUGUGGGGUGCUCGAGUGGCGAACGGGUGAGUAACACGUGAGUAACCUGCCCUUGACUUUGGGAUAACUUCAGGAAACUGGGGCUAAUACCGGUUAGGAGCUCCUGCUGCAUGGUGGGGGUUGGAAAGUUUCGGCGGUUGGGGAUGGACUCGCGGCUUAUCAGCUUGUUGGUGGGGUAGUGGCUUACCAAGGCUUUGACGGGUAGCCGGCCUGAGAGGGUGACCGGCCACAUUGGGACUGAGAUACGGCCCAGACUCCUACGGGAGGCAGCAGUGGGGAAUAUUGCACAAUGGGCGGAAGCCUGAUGCAGCAACGCCGCGUGCGGGAUGACGGCCUUCGGGUUGUAAACCGCUUUCGCCUGUGACGAAGCGUGAGUGGCGGUAAUGGGUAAAGAAGCACCGGCUAACUACGUG
This 468-nucleotide ribosomal RNA is filed under the name uncultured bacterium. RNAcentral's name for it is "partial 16S ribosomal RNA". It matches the Rfam family "Bacterial small subunit ribosomal RNA", at positions 28 to 507 of the family's 1533-position model. The record is from RNAcentral.